This 224-nucleotide ribosomal RNA is filed under the name uncultured bacterium. RNAcentral's name for it is "partial 16S ribosomal RNA". It matches the Rfam family "Bacterial small subunit ribosomal RNA", at positions 111 to 334 of the family's 1533-position model. The record is from RNAcentral.
UAACGCGUGGGUAACCGUGCCUCAUACAGGGGAAUAGCAGCUGGAAACGGCUGAUAAAACCGCAUAAGCGCACAGUGCCGCAUGGCACAGUGUGAAAAACUCCGGUGGUAUGAGAUGGACCCGCGUCUGAUUAGCUGGUUGGUGGGGUAACGGCCCACCAAGGCGACGAUCAGUAGCCGGCCUGAGAGGGUGAUCGGCCACAUUGGGACUGAGACACGGCCCAA